UACUUUGAGAUGCUGAUAUUCUCAUUUGU
Molecule: non-coding RNA, 29 nt
Filed under: Mus musculus (house mouse)
Lineage: Eukaryota; Metazoa; Chordata; Mammalia; Rodentia; Muridae
Source: RNAcentral